GACGAACGCUGGCGGCGUGCUUAACACAUGCAAGUCGAACGGAAAGGCCCGGCUUUUGUGGGGUGCUCGAGUGGCGAACGGGGGAGUAACACGUGAGUAACCUGCCCUUGACUUUGGGAUAACUUCAGGAAACUGGGGCUAAUACCGGAUAGGAGCUCCUGCUGCAUGGUGGGGGUUGGAAAGUUUCGGCGGUUGGGGAUGGACUCGCGGCUUAUCAGCUUGUUGGUGGGGUAGUGGCUUACCAAGGCUUUGACGGGUAGCCGGCCUGAGAGGGUGACCGGCCACAUUCUUACUGAGAUCCGUCCCCGCCUCCUCCUGGAGGCAGCAGUGCGGCCUAUUGCACAAUGGGCGGAAGCCUGCUGCAGCCCCGCCGCGUGCGGGAUGACGGCCUUCGGGUUUUCAACCUCUUUCGCCUGUGACGAAGCGUGAGUGACGGUAAUGGGUAAAGAAGCACCGGCUAACUACGUG
RNAcentral lists this ribosomal RNA (468 nucleotides) under uncultured bacterium. Its description in RNAcentral is "partial 16S ribosomal RNA". It matches the Rfam family "Bacterial small subunit ribosomal RNA", at positions 28 to 507 of the family's 1533-position model. The record is from RNAcentral.